Carassius auratus (goldfish) is the source of this 692-nucleotide long non-coding RNA. RefSeq lists it as uncharacterized. The transcript is spliced from 3 exons. The record is from RefSeq and is a predicted model, not a curated record. NCBI's taxonomy places the organism in Eukaryota, Metazoa, Chordata, Actinopteri, Cypriniformes, Cyprinidae.
GCAAAGGAAAAACAGUUCGCCAUUUUCUCUCUUGCUUUGGAUGCUUUGGAUGCAACGCUAAAAUUUGAAGAUAUGAGAUUCACCUAGUCAAGUGCAAUUUGACUUGCAAAUGCUCUAUAGAAGUGGAUGCAGGAUGAUGAUGAAGCCUUCAUCCAAAAAUCCACAGAGGAGACCACAGUGGGAAUCUACAUUCUCAAAUUCCGUGACAGAUCAGAUGACAUCGGGAUUAUUCUGGAAGGCCAGAACAUCUUGCAAGGCUUGGACAACUUUGCGUUAGCUAUGGCAAUGCUUUUUGGUCUUAUGUAUGCCUUAAAUCUCAACUACCCACCUGAAAUGAAAAAUACAUUUGAGGUACUGCAGAAGAUAGUCUUCUGUUUUUUAAUAACUUCAUACUGUUCGCUUACUUCUGUAGCACAUACAUAAAAAUGAGUUGUACUCUUAAAAGAAAUUUCUUAAAAGAAAUUGACUUCUUAUGAUUUUAAAAUUGAAAACAAAAAUGUCAAGGUAUGCUUUUGACAACUUGAUAUUGUUCACCUUUUCCUCUACACCUGUUUGACGGUGUAUUUGUCUUAAUGUUUGUUUUGUUGCAGUUACUGUAUGAAUGGUUAUUACUGUUCACCUUUUCCACUACAUGUUUGACUGUGCAUUGUCUUUUACUUGAAGUGAUGAAUAAAUGAAAUGAGUAAAGUGAU